RNAcentral lists this ribosomal RNA (433 nucleotides) under uncultured Coriobacteriaceae bacterium. RNAcentral's name for it is "partial 16S ribosomal RNA". It matches the Rfam family "Bacterial small subunit ribosomal RNA", at positions 341 to 792 of the family's 1533-position model. Lineage: Bacteria; Bacillati; Actinomycetota; Coriobacteriia; Coriobacteriales; Coriobacteriaceae. The record is from RNAcentral.
ACGGAAGGCAGCAGUGGGGAAUUUUGCGCAAUGGGGGAAACCCUGACGCAGCAACGCCGCGUGCGGGAUGAAGGCCUUCGGGUUGUAAACCGCUUUCAGUAGGGAAGAUUAUGACGGUACCUACAGAAGAAGCUCCGGCUAACUACGUGCCAGCAGCCGCGGUAAUACGUAGGGAGCAAGCGUUAUCCGGAUUCAUUGGGCGUAAAGCGCGCGUAGGCGGCUUGUUAAAUCAGGUGUUAAAUCGUGGGGCUCAACCCCAUCCCGCACCUGAAACUGGCAGGCUUGAGUACGGUAGGGGAAAGUGGAAUUCCCAGUGUAGCGGUGAAAUGCGCAGAUAUUGGGAAGAACACCGGUGGCGAAGGCGGCUUUCUGGGCCGUUACUGACGCUGAGGCGCGAAAGCUAGGGGAGCAAACAGGAUUAGAUACCCUGGUA